CUACGGGGCGCACCAGUGGGGACUAUUGCACAAUGGAGGAAACUCUGAUGCAGCAACGCCGCGUGGAGGAUGACACUUUUCGGAGCGUAAACUCCUUUUAUAUAGGAAGAAGAUGACGGUACUAUAUGAAUAAGCGCCGGCUAACUCCGGCCAGCAGCCGCGGUAAUACGGAGGGCGCAAGCGUUACUCGGAAUCACUGGGCGUAAAGAGCGUGUAGGCGGAUUAAAAAGUCAGAAGUGAAAUCCUAUAGCUUAACUAUAGAACUGCUUCUGAAACUCUUAAUCUAGAAUAUGGGAGAGGUAAAUGGAAUUUCUGGUGUAGGGGUAAAAUCCGUAGAGAUCAGAAGGAAUACCGAUUGCGAAGGCGAUCUACUAGAACAUUAUUGACGCUGAGACGCGAAAGCGUGGGGAGCAAACAGGAUUAGAUACCCCUGUAGUC
RNAcentral lists this ribosomal RNA (438 nucleotides) under uncultured bacterium. RNAcentral's name for it is "partial 16S ribosomal RNA". It matches the Rfam family "Bacterial small subunit ribosomal RNA", at positions 339 to 795 of the family's 1533-position model. The record is from RNAcentral.